UUUAACAAAAACAUGUCCUUUUGAGUUUAAUUUAAGGUCGGGCCUGCCCCCUGAUGUAUAUUAAAGGGCCGCGGUAUUUUGACCGUGCAAAGGUAGCAUAAUCAUUAGUCUUUUAAUUGAAGGCUGGAAUGAAUGGUUUGACGAAAUAUUAACUGUCUCUAUAUAAUAGAUAAAAUUUAACUUCUGAGUUAAAAGGCUUAGAUAAUUAUAAAAGACGAGAAGACCCUAUAGAUCUUUAUACAUGAAUAUGUUUAUUUUGUUUAGGUGUAAUUUUAAUAGAUAUAUUAAUGUAUUUUGUUGGGGUGACAUGAAGAUAAAAUUAACUCUUUAUUAUUAGUACAUUGAUUUAUGAAUGAUUGAUCCGCUACUAGCGAUUGUAAGAUAAAGUUACCUUAGGGAUAACAGCGUAAUUUUUUUUGAGAGUUCUUAUCGACAAAAAAGAUUGCGACCUCGA
Molecule: ribosomal RNA, 454 nt
Filed under: Eupholidoptera anatolica
Lineage: Eukaryota; Metazoa; Arthropoda; Insecta; Orthoptera; Tettigoniidae
Description: partial 16S ribosomal RNA
Rfam family: Bacterial large subunit ribosomal RNA
Source: RNAcentral